Mytilus trossulus (common blue mussel) is the source of this 280-nucleotide long non-coding RNA. RefSeq lists it as uncharacterized. The record is from RefSeq and is a predicted model, not a curated record. The transcript has 3 exons. Lineage: Eukaryota; Metazoa; Mollusca; Bivalvia; Mytilida; Mytilidae.
CUCUGAGCAUGCGCACUUUUACCGCUUGAAUUUUGAAAACAGUGAUAAAAGUUGCAGUGAAAUAUUUAUCUCGAUUCAGAUUCCAGAACAAAGAAAAAGAAUCUUGUAUAAAAAUCCACAGAUCCAAUGUGUGAACAUGUGUCUGAGGUUGUGGAAUGCAUUGCAGUUACAAUACUUACAAUAGACCAGAAACCAACACAAGACCAGCCGAUGAGAGGGCAGAAAACCAAAACUUUGAAUGCCAUGUAUACAACCAACACAAGACUAGAAUUUGGAAUAA